This 46-nucleotide ribosomal RNA is filed under the name Hanseniaspora uvarum. Its description in RNAcentral is "partial large subunit ribosomal RNA". RNAcentral also lists the same sequence under 9 other names. The record is from RNAcentral. Lineage: Eukaryota; Fungi; Ascomycota; Saccharomycetes; Saccharomycodales; Saccharomycodaceae.
UUGACCUCAAAUCAGGUAGGAUUACCCGCUGAACUUAAGCAUAUCA